GCUUUCGUGGUGUAGCGGUCAGCACGCUCGACGCGUAACUGAGAGGUCCGUGGUUCGAUUCCCGGGAAGGCG
RNAcentral lists this transfer RNA (72 nucleotides) under Stegodyphus mimosarum. It matches the Rfam family "tRNA". From Rfam's summary of the family: Transfer RNA (tRNA) molecules are approximately 80 nucleotides in length. Lineage: Eukaryota; Metazoa; Arthropoda; Arachnida; Araneae; Eresidae. The record is from Rfam by way of RNAcentral.